UUUCUUCUUCGUGUGGCAGCAACACGCGCUUGCAUCCAGAACCUGAAGAAGAAGUUCUUCUACUGGAAGUAAGACGUGACGGAGGAAGAACAUGACCCCUCUGGAGCAAAACCUGUUGUCUGGGUUUGGGUGUCCCCUCUGCCCUAAUUUCAAGACUGCAAGUGACGUGGUGAUCGAGAGGCGCUUAAGGAACCACACAGGGUGCAGAGUUGGAGGUCACUUCCAUUGUCCUUUUUGCAUGAAGUCAGAUCAGAGGCUGAUAAAUAUUUCGUGGCAGGAUGGGAAUCAGACCUUCAGCUGUGGAAAGUGACCCAAACAAAGUAUUUCCUCUUCAUGUCAAAGCUGAGUAGAAACCAGCAGAAACCGAU
Long non-coding RNA from Melanotaenia boesemani (Boeseman's rainbowfish), 368 nucleotides. RefSeq lists it as uncharacterized. The record is from RefSeq and is a predicted model, not a curated record. Lineage: Eukaryota; Metazoa; Chordata; Actinopteri; Atheriniformes; Melanotaeniidae. The transcript is spliced from 3 exons.